UAACGACUCUCGGCAACGGAUAUCUCGGCUCUCGCAUCGAUGAAGAACGUAGCGAAAUGCGAUACUUGGUGUGAAUUGCAGAAUCCCGUGAACCAUCGAGUCUUUGAACGCAAGUUGCGCCCGAAGCCGUCAGGCCGAGGGCACGCCUGCCUGGGCGUCACGC
Molecule: ribosomal RNA, 163 nt
Filed under: Rousselia humilis
Lineage: Eukaryota; Viridiplantae; Streptophyta; Magnoliopsida; Rosales; Urticaceae
Also listed under: 1 other name
Description: 5.8S ribosomal RNA
Rfam family: 5.8S ribosomal RNA
About the family: 5.8S ribosomal RNA (5.8S rRNA) is a component of the large subunit of the eukaryotic ribosome.
Source: RNAcentral